UACGAAGGGGGCUAGCGUUGUUCGGAAUCACUGGGCGUAAAGCGCACGCAGGCGGAUCGUUAAGUCAGGGGUGAAAUCCCGAGGCUCAACCUCGGAACUGCCUUUGAUACUGGCGAUCUUUGAGUCCGGGAGAGGUGAGUGGAACUCCGAGUGUAGAGGUGAAAUUCGUAGAUAUUCGGAAGAACACCAGUGGCGAAGGCGGCUCACUGGCCCGGUACUGACGCUCAUGUGCGAAAGCGUGGGGAGCGAACCGG
RNAcentral lists this ribosomal RNA (254 nucleotides) under uncultured bacterium. RNAcentral describes it as "partial 16S ribosomal RNA". It matches the Rfam family "Bacterial small subunit ribosomal RNA", at positions 524 to 776 of the family's 1533-position model. The record is from RNAcentral.